Molecule: ribosomal RNA, 552 nt
Filed under: uncultured cyanobacterium
Lineage: Bacteria; Bacillati; Cyanobacteriota
Description: bacterial SSU rRNA
Rfam family: Bacterial small subunit ribosomal RNA
Source: RNAcentral
UCUGAUUAGCUAGUUGGUGGGGUAAAGGCUUACCAAGGCGACGAUCAGUAGCUGGUCUGAGAGGACGAUCAGCCACACUGGGACUGAGACACGGCCCAGACUCCUACGGGAGGCAGCAGUGGGGAAUUUUCCGCAAUGGGCGAAAGCCUGACGGAGCAAUACCGCGUGAGGGAGGAAGGCUCUUGGGUUGUAAACCUCUUUUCUCAGAGAAGAAGCUCUGACGGUACCUGAGGAAUCAGCAUCGGCUAACUCCGUGCCAGCAGCCGCGGUAAUACGGAGGAUGCAAGCGUUAUCCGGAAUGAUUGGGCGUAAAGCGUCUGCAGGUGGCUUUACAAGUCUGCUGUCAAAGACUGAGGCUUAACUUCGGAGAGGCAGUGGAAACUGAAAAGCUAGAGUGCGGUAGGGGUAGAGGGAAUUCCCGGUGUAGCGGUGAAAUGCGUAGAGAUCGGGAAGAACACCAGUGGCGAAAGCGCUCUGCUGGACCGCAACUGACACUCAUGGACGAAAGCUAGGGGAGCGAAUGGGAUUAGAUACCCCAGUAGUCCUAGCCGU